UGCUUCUGGAUGGAGUCGUCAAA
RNAcentral lists this microRNA (23 nucleotides) under Pristionchus pacificus. RNAcentral describes it as "ppc-miR-8275-3p". Lineage: Eukaryota; Metazoa; Nematoda; Chromadorea; Rhabditida; Neodiplogasteridae. The record is from miRBase by way of RNAcentral.